GGUGCGAGCGUUGUCCGGAUUUAUUGGGCGUAAAGAGCUUGUAGGCGGUUGGUUGCGUCGAAAGUGCAAACUCAGGGCUUAACUCUGAGCCUGCUUUCGAUACGGGCUGACUGGAGGAAGGUAGGGGAGAAUGGAAUUCCCGGUGGAGCGGUGGAAUGCGCAGAUAUCGGGAGGAACACCAGUGGCGAAGGCGGUUCUCUGGACCUUUCCUGACGCUGAGAAGCGAAAGCGUGGGGAGCAAACAGGCUUAGAUACCCUGGUAGUCCACGCUGUAAACGGUGGGUACUAGGUGUGGGGGACAUUCCACGUUCUCUGUGCCGUAGCUAACGCAUUAAGUACCCCGCCUGGGGAGUACGGCCGCAAGGCUAAAACUCAAAGGAAUUGACGGGGCCCCGCACAAGCGGCGGAGCAUGCGGAUUAAUUCGAUGCAACGCGAAGAACCUUACCUGGGUUUGACAUAUAUCGGAAACGUUCAGAGAUGGGCGCCCCGUAAGGUCGGUAUACAGGUGGUGCAUGGCUGUCGUCAGCUCGUGUCGUGAGAUGUUGGGUUAAGUCCCGCAACGAGCGCAACCCUCGUCCAAUGUUGCCAGCGGGU
This 595-nucleotide ribosomal RNA is filed under the name uncultured bacterium. RNAcentral's name for it is "bacterial SSU rRNA". It matches the Rfam family "Bacterial small subunit ribosomal RNA", at positions 531 to 1126 of the family's 1533-position model. The record is from RNAcentral.